Molecule: ribosomal RNA, 252 nt
Filed under: uncultured bacterium
Lineage: Bacteria
Description: partial 16S ribosomal RNA
Rfam family: Bacterial small subunit ribosomal RNA
Source: RNAcentral
UACAGGGGGUGCAAACGUUGCUCGGAAUCAUUGGGCGUAAAGCGCACGUAGGCGGUCUGUUAUGUCGGAUGUGAAAGCCCUUGGCUCAACUGAGGAAGUGCAUCCGAAACUGGCAGGCUAGAGUACUAAAGAGGAUCGCGGAAUUCCCGGUGUAGAGGUGAAAUUCGUAGAUAUCGGGAGGAACACCGGUGGCGAAGGCGGCGAUCUGGGUAGAUACUGACGCUGAGGUGCGAAAGCGUGGGGGCAAACAGG